Molecule: small nucleolar RNA, 67 nt
Filed under: Ochotona princeps (American pika)
Lineage: Eukaryota; Metazoa; Chordata; Mammalia; Lagomorpha; Ochotonidae
Source: RNAcentral
CUGCCGGUGAUGUGCAAGAAUUUCUUCACCUGAACCAGCCGUGUGGUCACAGCUUAUCUGAGGCAGC